This is a non-coding RNA of Oesophagostomum dentatum (nodular worm), 72 nucleotides long. The record is from Rfam. Lineage: Eukaryota; Metazoa; Nematoda; Chromadorea; Rhabditida; Strongylidae.
UGGGGUAUAGCUCAGUGGUAGAGCGCUCCCUUAGCAUGGGAGAGGGUUGGGGUUCAAUUCCCCAUACCUCCA